This 253-nucleotide ribosomal RNA is filed under the name uncultured bacterium. Its description in RNAcentral is "partial 16S ribosomal RNA". It matches the Rfam family "Bacterial small subunit ribosomal RNA", at positions 524 to 776 of the family's 1533-position model. The record is from RNAcentral.
UACGUAGGGGGCAAGCGUUGUCCGGAUUUAUUGGGCGUAAAGCGCGCGUAGGCGGCGCGGUAUGUCGUGCGUGAAAUCUCCCGGCUUAACUGGGAGGGGCCGUGCGAAACUGCCGGGCUUGAGGUCGGAAGGGGAAAGUGGAAUUCCGGGUGUAGUGGUGGAAUACGUAGAUAUCCGGAGGAACACCAGCGGCGAAGGCGGCUUUCUGGUCCGAUACUGACGCUGAGACGCGAAAGCGUGGGGAGCGAACAGG